CACUCUCUCCCCACCACUCCCCAUUCCAUGGUGGCCGCCGCCCAUUCUCCCCGCUGCCUGCUCUCCUCCGCACGCCGCGCCGUCGCACGACGCCUCCUCCUCCUCCCCUCUGCCUCGCCCCGCCGCCUCCUCGCCGCACGACGGUCUCGCCUCGCCAGCAACCCCGCCGGUCUUCCCUAGAUAAACUCUGCCGCUGCCAUCCCCAUGUCCUAGCGCAGAUCUAGACGGGAGCUAGAGGGGCAUGCUGGACACGAUGCGGGAGCGGGCAUAUCAUAGAGGACCGAGAUCCAGUGCAUCUACGUGCCCGCUGUCAUUGUUGUCCCCCGUGCUUGGCUCCCACACUCGCUCCGGGUAGGCGCUCGCAGCUCGCCUACUGCUCGGCUGCUCUAGGUACUUGACGGACUCAGUUAAAGCACAACGUCAGGCUGCAGCAGAAGCUUGAGGAAUGCAGGGGCUAAUGAUAGUACUCAUCAACCAAAAUUACCGGCGUUGCCAACCAUGCUUUGAACUUUCGGAGAUCAAGCUGUACGGUUGUACAAUGAAGAUUUUUGGUAACUACCUCAACUCUCAUGAGAUGAUUAGCUUAGAAAAUCGAGAUAUUUUCUCAUGAAUUUCAGCUCUUCUGAUGAGGCACAUAGUUUUGUACUUGGGGUGCUCAGAAAUAAUAGGAUGUUUUCUUUUUUAUACAUCUCGUGGCUUAUCCUUGUGUCAGAACAGAAAGGAAAAAAGAAUACUUGGUCUUUACAUGGAAAGGACGCUCCUGUGGUUAUUGUGAUAUCAAAUUUUGCAUAAUUUCUUCUAAUGUUUUAUUUACUCUUUUACUGGCUUCCCUGUCUUUAUUUGUGGUGCUUAGUUGCUCAACCUGGCAUGCUCUGUUACCCAAGAUGCAGUUUAAGGAUUCAAGUGGCGAUUGCAACCCAAAAUGUUGCAAAGAAUCUGCUACCAGAGGCUUCAUUAUGCACAUCUUUUCUUUUUACAAAAUGAAGUCUGAUCUGCUGUCAUCACAUCAACACGUAUGCCUACAUCACCAAUGUUUGUACAGCGACAUUUAUUCACAGACAAAUGAAGAUAUUCUAAGGUGAAAGGAGGAGCGGCCACCCACUCGACGGUGCGGUGCAGGGUGGCAAGGGAGCCGGCAGGGAGGUGUCAACGUGGUGCAUGGCCGCGAGGGAACCGUCCAGGAAGGCGACGAUGCGAUGCAGGGAUCGAGGCCGCCGUGCAGGGAGCCGACGGGGCUGCUGAGCUUCCUUUGGGGCGGUGGCGAGGAAAGGCAGGAGAGGGGCGAGGGAGACGAUUAGGUUUAGAUUCCUUUUUUUUCAAAUUUAUUAGAUGGUUAGAUUAGCGUGAUUUGAGGGGCUGCGGAGGUGGGAUGGAGAGUUUCAUAUUUUCGUCUGGUGGAGUAAGGUCAGUCCAUGUAAACUGCUAAGCGCACACCAGAUCUCAAAUAAAUUAAUGAUGGCUGUUAGAUUGGGUCGUGUGGGCUUCAUCUUGUGGUGGUGA
Molecule: long non-coding RNA, 1500 nt
Organism: Triticum dicoccoides
Lineage: Eukaryota; Viridiplantae; Streptophyta; Magnoliopsida; Poales; Poaceae
Exons: 3
Source: RefSeq, a predicted model, not a curated record